AUUAGAAUUUUUCCCAUAAAAAUUAAUGAGCGAUCCCCAUAAUGAGAUGUUUAUCUGACUUGUGUGUGUGUGUGUGUAUGCAUGUAUAGGAUAAAGAUCUUUUUCACACUAUUCGCAAAGAAAAAUAUUACACUGGAAAGUGUGGAAAGUGUACCAGCACAGGUGUGUUCAUGCUUGAUGAAUGAGGAUAAUGAGAGUUUCAGCACUAUUUCCGGUCAUGACCCCAGUGCAUUACUGGUGACCUCCAUCAUCUGUUUAUGGGAAUGUUUUGCUGACUCUAUUAUCAUCGCCAAUAAGAAAGAGCUUUAACGCACUUUCACAUUAACAUAUCAAUGCAUACUGUGAAGAGCAAAAGUGGAAAGGCUUGAUCUGAGCGAGAUGAUGCAUUGAACUCCCAGCAAUAGUGCUACAACCCAGGUGUGCUUUUAAUUUAAUGGGAAUGUUAAAAUGUGAUAUGUAAUUAAGCGUAAAUUCAUUAUAAUCGAUAUUGAUGCUGACUGGUGCAGGAAUGUGCUUAACUUCGUUGUUGUGUAUGAUCCAGCGUUGUUGACAAUCUGUAAAGCUUAAAUAAAUAUGACCAUGAGAUGGGAUGGACUAGAUUCUCCAUGUACUUUGCAUUAUCAGUCAUCAUGUAGGAUGUUUUCUGUCUCUCUCCCUGGGAAUAGGAACCUCAUGUCCCUUCCUGUUCCCACUCUCACCCUCAGAUAAAUCCCCCCCUUCCUUCCCAACAUUCCCAUGUGGUCCUGUUCUCUAUCUGUCAUGCAGAUAGUUAGUUAUUAGUAGAUAGAUAGUUAUUAGUUAACUUUCUCUAUUAACAGCACCAAAGAUUUACAGUCCUAUUUUUACACGUGUAAUGCAAUCAGUAUGAAGGGUAGUGUCAUUCAUAUUUGGAAACGCACAUAUAUUUUGGAUCGCCUUUUCAAUUCUGAUGCAGUCUUCUGAUCUGAAGGUGUUAUAUUCAGUUCCGUUUCCCUUUUAAAAACUAGGAAAUAAUCCUUUUCUGUUGAACAUUGGUUAGUGUUUCCAGUGUGUUUCUGAUCUUAUGUUCAGUGCCAAGAUUUUGCUGUGAGGUUGUCAACCUUUAACCCACGAGCAGCACACAAGACAAGCCGACCACUAAACAACAGGAAAAUGUAAUCGAUUUCCGCCAGAUGGGAGCAGACACAACCUCUGAAGAUCGAGAAAAGGGAACGCAGCCCUGAGAUUGAAGACGUCGCUCCUGCAGCCGCCUCAAUUCAUUCCCAAUAGCAAAGUUGUACAUUGACAGGAUCCAAAAGAUCAGACAAAGGGCCCAAAUUAUUUAAUGGAUGAAUAACCAAUCCAACUGAGUGAGACUAACAUGGUGCAGUUGUGAAACUUUGGGCAUUCCUCUCUGCAUAUUAUACAAUAAAACCCCUAAAGGAGACAGAGGGAUGGGGGUGUAUUGGAACCACUGGGAUGAACAGAACAUGAGCACAUACAGACAUCCCUAGAGUUCCAUUAAUCUUUAAAUCCUAAUGUUUGUAUCAUGAAGGGUUCAGUGUGUGUAUAUAGUGUAUGUUUCUUUAUUGUUUUGGUCAUUUUUAUGUUGUGGGCAACAAAUGUGAAGCUGAAAGUUUUACCUUGUGGGGACCAUGUUUUUGGUUCUUACUAGGAAAAAGUCAAUUUUAUAAAAAUCUGUGAAUGCAAUCAAAGAAUUAAAAAUGCCAGA
Long non-coding RNA from Brienomyrus brachyistius, 1690 nucleotides. RefSeq lists it as uncharacterized. Lineage: Eukaryota; Metazoa; Chordata; Actinopteri; Osteoglossiformes; Mormyridae. The record is from RefSeq and is a predicted model, not a curated record. The transcript is spliced from 3 exons.